This 1503-nucleotide ribosomal RNA is filed under the name uncultured bacterium. RNAcentral's name for it is "bacterial SSU rRNA". It matches the Rfam family "Bacterial small subunit ribosomal RNA". The record is from RNAcentral.
GAGUUUGAUCCUGGCUCAGAACGAACGCUGGCGGCGUGGAUAAGACAUGCAAGUCGAACGAGAGAAUUGCUAGCUUGCUAAUAAUUCUCUAGUGGCGCACGGGUGAGUAACACGUGAGUAACCUGCCCCCGAGAGCGGGAUAGCCCUGGGAAACUGGGAUUAAUACCGCAUAGUAUCGAAAGAUUAAAGCAGCAAUGCGCUUGGGGAUGGGCUCGCGGCCUAUUAGUUAGUUGGUGAGGUAACGGCUCACCAAGGCGAUGACGGGUAGCCGGUCUGAGAGGAUGUCCGGCCACACUGGAACUGAGACACGGUCCAGACACCUACGGGUGGCAGCAGUCGAGAAUCAUUCACAAUGGGGGAAACCCUGAUGGUGCGACGCCGCGUGGGGGAAUGAAGGUCUUCGGAUUGUAAACCCCUGUCAUGUGGGAGCAAAUUAAAAAGAUAGUACCACAAGAGGAAGAGACGGCUAACUCUGUGCCAGCAGCCGCGGUAAUACAGAGGUCUCAAGCGUUGUUCGGAAUCACUGGGCGUGAAGCGUGCGUAGGCUGUUUCGUAAGUCGUGUGUGAAAGGCGCGGGCUCAACCCGCGGACGGCACAUGAUACUGCGAGACUAGAGUAAUGGAGGGGGAACCGGAAUUCUCGGUGUAGCAGUGAAAUGCGUAGAUAUCGAGAGGAACACUCGUGGCGAAGGCGGGUUCCUGGACAUUAACUGACGCUGAGGCACGAAGGCCAAGGGAGCGAAAGGGAUUAGAUACCCCUGUAGUCCUGGCAGUAAACGGUGCACGCUUGGUGUGCGGGGAAUCGACCCCCUGCGUGCCGGAGCUAACGCGUUAAGCGUGCCGCCUGGGGAGUACGGUCGCAAGAUUAAAACUCAAAGAAAUUGACGGGGACCCGCACAAGCAGUGGAGUAUGUGGCUUAAUUCGAUGCAACGCGAAGAACCUUACCUGGGCUUGACAUGUAAUGAACAACAUGUGAAAGCAUGCGACUCUUCGGAGGCGUUACACAGGUGCUGCAUGGCCGUCGUCAGCUCGUGUCGUGAGAUGUUUGGUUAAGUCCAGCAACGAGCGCAACCCCUGUUGCCAGUUACCAGCACGUGAAGGUGGGGACUCUGGCGAGACUGCCCAGAUCAACUGGGAGGAAGGUGGGGACGACGUCAGGUCAGUAUGGCCCUUAUGCCCAGGGCUGCACACGUACUACAAUGCCCAGUACAGAGGGGGCCGAAGCCGCGAGGCGGAGGAAAUCCUAAAAACUGGGCCCAGUUCGGACUGUAGGCUGCAACCCGCCUACACGAAGCCGGAAUCGCUAGUAAUGGCGCAUCAGCUACGGCGCCGUGAAUACGUUCCCGGGUCUUGUACACACCGCCCGUCACAUCAUGGAAGCCGGUCGCACCCGAAGUAUCUGAAGCCAACCGCAAGGAGGCAGGGUCCUAAGGUGAGACUGGUAACUGGGAUGAAGUCGUAACAAGGUAGCCGUAGGGGAACCUGCGGCUGGAUCACCUCCUU